This 307-nucleotide long non-coding RNA is filed under the name Vigna radiata. Its description in RNAcentral is "long non-coding RNA (VRAD_LNC000525)". Lineage: Eukaryota; Viridiplantae; Streptophyta; Magnoliopsida; Fabales; Fabaceae. The record is from RNAcentral.
GUUGUCAACAAUUUUAAACAUGAUAGGAAACACUCGUCCAUAACGUCUAGGAAACAAAAUCUCAGAUAUUCCAACCAAUAUAUACAAGCUACAAAAAACACCACAAGGUAUUUCUUUUUUAUGUUUCUUCAAUAAGAAUUUGUAAAUGAAAUUCAAAUCUUUGAUUCCCUUACCCAAGUAUUUAAAACAAUUACUAUUAUCCUGUGUAUGCUUUAAGUUUAUACCAUAACCCUCUGAACUCAACCCUAAUCCAUAACAAAAUUCCUUUUCGUUCAUGUUCACAACUUUAUCUCCAAUUACAAAACNN